Eucalyptus grandis is the source of this 3893-nucleotide long non-coding RNA. RefSeq lists it as uncharacterized. NCBI's taxonomy places the organism in Eukaryota, Viridiplantae, Streptophyta, Magnoliopsida, Myrtales, Myrtaceae. The transcript is spliced from 13 exons. The record is from RefSeq and is a predicted model, not a curated record.
AUUAAGGAAACUAGGCGGAGGGAAGAGGAGCCAGUUUGUUGGUGGGCCUUGAUCCCGGUGGGCUUUUGCAGCCCAAUCAGCUGCUAGGUUUGCCUGUCGCCGGAUGUGUCGAAGCGAAAGGAUAGGGCAUUGCGGAAUAAGAUCGCUGAGAAUCACGAAAAGAUGACGAUCCUUCCAUGGCGGCUGCUGUUUCGUCCGAACGAUCUCCACCAACAGCAAGCAAUCAGAUUCGAUCACAAAUUGCUGAAGAUGGAGUCCCUUCGGAUGAGCCGUUGGAGAGCAGAUAUAAGGGCAUAGAUCUCGGCUUGGAAUGCCGAUUGAGCAGGCACAGAUCAGGUAAGCACGUCUGUCAAAAUACUUUUGCUGUCUCUGUAAAUGCAAGCGAUGGAGCCUGUCUCCGAUGCUGGGUGAAAAGCCCCAUCAAUGUUACACUUGAUAAAACCCUCCUCUGGUGGUUUCCAUCCUUGCCCUAAACUGACCUGUGUGUUUUGAAUCUUUUGUGGCGAGGGUUGGAUAACCUUGAAGAUGGUACUUUGGGUAAGGGCAUUAGUGACAACUAGGAGAGGAUCCAGCGGAAUCUGACGAAAAACAGCGUUAUUGCGUUGUCGCCAGAUCUCCCACAGAAUAUGAGCGAUCGCUUCAAAAUUUGGAGACGCUUGUAGGUGGGAAACACGGUCAACAACCCAGGCAUCGAAUCGGCUAACUGAGGUACCAAAAGGUGUCUCUGUCCAAACAAGUUGAUCAUGAUGGAGAGACGGAUUGAUAGGAGUAUUGAGGAUGGCUGCACUAACCUGGACAUCGAAAAAUGAAGUAACAUAGGAAGACUUCCAUUCAGAGUGCUGGGAAUCAAUGAGAUCAGCAACUAGUUCUGGUUCUCCCUCCGCAGAAUGCUGAGAUCUUCUUUUCUAUCAAUCUGCAGAGAGACAACGGAAGCUUGAAGAUAGACAUGGCAUACUGCGGAUCCAUGAGAACAUCUCCCUCUUGGAUUGGCCCCAAUCCGAGGGAAUGCCCAGUGAUGCCGAUAGAAGAGUCCAGGGAGACCAUCAGGACCAGGAGACUUCGAAGCUCCCAACUGACAAGUUGCUUGGUAAAUCUCCUCCUCUAUUACCCGACUCAUCAAGUGGUUAUUCAUUUCAGGUGUUACCACUGGUGGACAUUGCUCUAAGAAAGGACGAAAAUCCCGAUAGCCCACAGACCUGUACAGCUGAGAGAAGAAUCCCUGAUUGAGAUUGCAAGUAAGAUAUGCGUUGAUGACAAUUGCUGAACCAGGCUCUGCUCCAGCUGGUUAAUCGGGUAGCAACUGCCUGUAACUUGGAAAGCAAUGAGAUGGUGGACGAGCUUGCAGCAACAAAGGACGGUGAUCCGAGCCAACAGGAGGUAGGGCAUAUACUUCUGCAAAAGGGUAAAUUCGCAACCCUUACUUUGGAGUUCUAGAAGGGCACAAUCAUUAAUUACAUUCCGAAAAGAGGUUGUUCGCGAAGUGGAUGCCGGUCUCUUGCCCAUCUUCUCCCAGGGAGAAAGAAAGUCGUUGAAAUCACCGAGACACAGCCAAGGUAAAUGAUUUGCAGCGUGGAUGAUUCUUAUGGUAUCCCAGAAGUCUUGACGGAGCUGAUAUAGUGGAGGAGCAUGCAAGCAAGUGAUAUGCAUAGAGGCUGUUGUCCUAGGAUCACGGGCGAUGAAAUCAACAAACUGAGCAUCCAUAUGUACAAGAGUAACUUCAAAAUUGUCAUUCCAAAACAGAGCAAGACCACCCUUAAAGCCAACUAGAUCCUUCACAAAAGAGCUACCAUCGCCUUUAAUGCUUGAAUUGUCAGGGGAUUGCCCAACCCCUGACAAUUCCAACUCAGGAGUUUCAUUGGGAACACGGUGGCUGUUGAGGGCCAGCCACCAAAGCCCGAAGAUCAGGGAGAGGUACCUCCAAAACUGGGGCAUCCAGAAGGAGGGACUCAUCAAAAACUGUAGAUGAGGGAAGUGUAACAUCAUAUGGUACUAAAUCUGUAGUGAUAGCAGUAGGAUUGGCAAUAUUCAAGAGUCUGGAAGUCUCUUGAUGUAUAACAGGAGUCGAAGUUGCAUCCACCGUGGCAGGGAUAGAAGGUAGAGCUAGGAGGGCAGGCUGUUUUGGAGGAGGAGUUUUAGGUACUGUCUCUUCCAUUGGCUCAACUGGAGCUUGAGGGUGGUAAAAAGCAUCCCAGUAAGGGCUAAAUUGUUUAAGCUCAGCUCUAAGCCAAGGUCCAUAGAUCAUCGUGUCCCGACCAUCAAAUUGGGCUUCAUCAUAAGGGACCUCCGGACAUGAAGCAGCAUAAUGACCGAGCCUUCCACAGGAGUAGCAAGAUGUCAGUUUUCACUUCCUGAACUUUACCUAGCUGGGAGACCGCUCUACGCAAAAUAGGAGGAGAAGUCCACUCCAAAGGCUUUCUUCAUCGCAACAUGAAAUGCUGAUACAUUCACAGAGGGAUUGGUAAAAACAUUACCCACCAGUAUAAGGCGACAAUCCUGCAGUUUGGCCGAUGCAGGGAGAUCAUCCCAAACCUCCAACUCUUGUUCUGAGCAUAAUCGACCAAGGCGAUUGCAUAGGGAAGCUAUUCUGGAGAUCGGCAACAUGCAAAGCAGAAAGAACUGGUAUUUGAGAGAGACGAAAGAAACAACGGAACGAGGGGAAGGUGAUGACUGGAAAGAAGGAAAGAAAGUGUGCAUGCGGAAGAGGUAAAGAGGAACAUAAACAUUUAGGGUAGAAAUUGCGAGGAGCACCAGUGGUUCAAAUAGAACGCAAAGAUCAGACGAAGAGCUGAGGAAGAUGAAGACAUGGCGAAAAACUCGAACAUUACGCGAGAGGAAACUCUAACAUGAACGAGAGGAGGAGCGAGAGAUUCUGGUUAGUAGAUUUAUCUCGCUCAAUACUUGAACCUUCAUUUUUUUCCGAAAAACAAAGGAGCCUCCCUUUUUUUUAGGGAGAAUGAACAGAUAGGUCUAAGCCAAAUAAAUUUCAAGUCUUUUGAAACUGAGACUCGAGCUGGCUGAUUCACCAACUUGGCCAAGCAACCGGCCGGUUCUAGCUGGUCGGUGGCUCCCCGAAUAAGACCGGUCCGACUGCACGAACCGGGGGCUUGAUCAUCACCAGAACCAAGAAGAAAGACCGCCAAUCCAGUGAUGUGACUGUCCGCCGAAUCACGAGAACUUUUCUCAAACGUUGGAAAACCGAAAAUGGAGGUGCGACAAAUUGCAAAGUCCCUGUGGGAGAGCGACGACGUUACGGCGGGAUUCCCCAAGCAGGACGCAACUGCACCGGGACGCGCCUCCCUCCCUCCCUACCUCCCUCCCUCCCUCCCUCCCCGGCGGGUCUUCCGGGGGUUUCUGCAGCUGGCAUCAUCGUCAGCCCUCCCACCAGGUCAAAGGUCAACUACCCCCGGUGCACACCUCCCUCGUUUUGCCGACCGGAGCUCUGUCGUUUUCCACAUUCCCCUCCUUGUCGUUUUCCCAUCUUUCCUGUUCCCGUGAAUGCCCCCCCUCUCCCUUGAGAAUCUCGAGGGGUCGUGAGGUUGCUCCGCAUGGAACUUGCGCCAUCUUUUUGCCCUAGUCCAGUUGAACCCUUCAAACCAACGAUGGUCAAGAAAGCGAGGCGACCUCAUGGAUGCUUGAAACUCUUGUCGUGAUAUUACUCCGUGUAACGAGUCAUCCUGGUGAUUGGAUUCGCGCGGGAGACUCCUUUUUUCUGGUGUUGAAUAUGAGCCGGUUAUUUAAAUUUUCGCUCGUAGUCAAUACAUCGAUUUUGCAAACUUGAUUUUGAAGCAUCGAAACAACCGUAGGUUUAGGGUGGAUGUUGAGGCUCAACCAACCGUUGGUUGCUAACUCACAAUGAGACAUAUGCAAGUUUCCAUCUCUUUGAGAACUUUUCA